GUCAGGAACUACCCGUGCUUCAUUAACCAUGAGCGGUGCACAUAGGACUGAUGCGUCAGUCCGUUGCAUUGGGAUAAACCUUCUUAAAUCUGCAGUUCAGAUACUCAUGGACAGCUGAUGUAUAGACAGAACAGGAAAAGUCAAGAUCCUUAUUUUCAUGUCUUUAUUUUCGUGAAAACUCAGCAAAGAAGGGUAUGACACGAAGAAGAGGAUACGUCACACUAUAUGUACAGUAUUUGUGUAGCCUUGAAUCCCAGUGAACAGAGCAGCAGCUGUAAAGGAAUGAUGUAAGAAGAGAAAAAUGAGGGUCACAGUGGAAGUUGUGGGCAGAAGGCGAGGCGAGAACAACAAGGACGAACCCUGGUCACAAAGAUGUGAGGCAAUAAUGCUAAUCAUAAUGCCACCAUAUCAGCCCGUGUUAUUAAGUAUAUAGCCUAUUAGCUUAUUUUAAAACAUAUGCUAUUAUGUAUUACAGUUUCACACCAAGGUGGAUAAAUGUUAAUAAGAUUCUAUUCGUUUCCGUUUAUUUCUGAAUGUACAGUAACAAUAAAGAGAUUUUCGAUUGCUUGGCAAUAUGAGUGCUGAUACAGUAUGAGCAGUUCAUAAUGUUAGAAAUGUAUCGAUAACAGCAAGAGAAUUAACGCUCUUUAGGGCCCAUGUGUUAUCGAAUACACCGAUUUUAUGAGGGCAAGUUGAACAAAGUACUCGAAGGCGGGUCUUAGGCAAAAAGAGGUUUUACUGUAUUAACUGAACAGGAGCAAGGUAACAAACGAGAGCCCGAGUGGUCAGAACAAGAAGUCCAGCACAUGGAAGGACACGGACAUAGAGGAACAACGUCAAUGACCUAACUAGGACUGACGAGACAAACAGGUACUUAAAUACAAAGACUAAGGAGGGGUAACAAGCAACAGGUGUGGCUCAUCAGGGUCACGUCAGGCGGACAUGAUGGGCAGGACGUAACAAAUGCAAUUCAUUAACCAGUCAAAGGCCUUCCAUGUACCUGUCAGGCUCUUUGUUCCAAAGUAAAGUGUGUGAUUCCCAUCCCCCAGAACUCUCACGAAGUCCAGGUACUGUCUCUUUCCUCUCUACACCAUUGUCUACUAGACCAU
Molecule: long non-coding RNA, 1109 nt
Organism: Brienomyrus brachyistius
Lineage: Eukaryota; Metazoa; Chordata; Actinopteri; Osteoglossiformes; Mormyridae
Exons: 3
Source: RefSeq, a predicted model, not a curated record